RNAcentral lists this ribosomal RNA (419 nucleotides) under uncultured bacterium. RNAcentral describes it as "bacterial SSU rRNA". It matches the Rfam family "Bacterial small subunit ribosomal RNA", at positions 355 to 787 of the family's 1533-position model. The record is from RNAcentral.
UGGGGAAUAUUGGGCAAUGGGCGAAAGCCUGACCCAGCAACGCCGCGUGAGGGAAGAAGGUUUUCGGAUUGUAAACCUCUGUCCUAAGUGACGAAGGAAGUGACGGUAGCUUAGGAGGAAGCCCCGGCUAACUACGUGCCAGCAGCCGCGGUAAUACGUAGGGGGCGAGCGUUGUCCGGAUUUACUGGGUGUAAAGGGUGCGUAGGUGGUAUGGCAAGUCAGAAGUGAAAACCCGGGGCUCAACCCCGCGGAUUGCUUUUGAAACUGUCAGACUGGAGUACCGGAGAGGUAAGCGGAAUUCCUAGUGUAGCGGUGAAAUGCGUAGAUAUUAGGAGGAACACCAGUGGCGAAGGCGGCUUACUGGACGGUAACUGACACUGAGGCACGAAAGCGUGGGGAGCAAACAGGAUUAGAUACCC